GACCUGGUGGUGAAUGGCUCAUACCCACUUUAUUUACAAUAGGUAUGCAUACGGAAUACGGUGGAUGUCCCCGGUUCGAAUCCGGGCCAGGUCA
Non-coding RNA from Mycena olivaceomarginata, 94 nucleotides. Lineage: Eukaryota; Fungi; Basidiomycota; Agaricomycetes; Agaricales; Mycenaceae. The record is from the annotation of a GenBank genome assembly.